GAUGAACGCUGGCGGCGUGCCUAAUACAUGCAAGUCGAGCGAACGGACGAGAAGCUUGCUUCUCUGAUGUUAGCGGCGGACGGGUGAGUAACACGUGGAUAACCUACCUAUAAGACUGGGAUAACUUCGGGAAACCAGAGCUAAUACCGGAUAAUAUUUUGAACCGCAUGGUUCAAAAGUAAAAGACGGUCUUGCUGUCACUUAUAGAUGGAUCCGCGCUGCAUUAGCUAGUUGGUAAGGUAACGGCUUACCAAGGCAACGAUGCAUAGCCGACCUGAGAGGGUGAUCGGCCACACUGGAACUGAGACACGGUCCAGACUCCUACGGGAGGCAGCAGUAGGGAAUCUUCCGCAAUGGGCGAAAGCCUGACGGAGCAACGCCGCGUGAGUGAUGAAGGUCUUCGGAUCGUAAAACUCUGUUAUUAGGGAAGAACAUAUGUGUAAGUAACUGUGCACAUCUUGACGGUACCUAAUCAGAAAGCCACGGCUAACUACGU
RNAcentral lists this ribosomal RNA (496 nucleotides) under uncultured bacterium. RNAcentral describes it as "partial 16S ribosomal RNA". It matches the Rfam family "Bacterial small subunit ribosomal RNA", at positions 28 to 506 of the family's 1533-position model. The record is from RNAcentral.